RNAcentral lists this ribosomal RNA (497 nucleotides) under uncultured bacterium. RNAcentral's name for it is "partial 16S ribosomal RNA". It matches the Rfam family "Bacterial small subunit ribosomal RNA", at positions 28 to 507 of the family's 1533-position model. The record is from RNAcentral.
GAUGAACGCUGGCGGCAUACCUAAUACAUGCAAGUCGAGCGAACAGACGAGGAGCUUGCUCCUCUGACGUUAGCGGCGGACGGGUGAGUAACACGUGGAUAACCUACCUAUAAGACUGGGAUAACUUCGGGAAACCGGAGCUAAUACCGGAUAAUAUAUUGAACCGCAUGGUUCAAUAGUGAAAGACGGUUUUGCUGUCACUUAUAGAUGGAUCCGCGCCGCAUUAGCUAGUUGGUAAGGUAACGGCUUACCAAGGCGACGAUGCGUAGCCGACCUGAGAGGGUGAUCGGCCACACUGGAACUGAGACACGGUCCAGACUCCUACGGGAGGCAGCAGUAGGGAAUCUUCCGCAAUGGGCGAAAGCCUGACGGAGCAACGCCGCGUGAGUGAUGAAGGUCUUCGGAUCGUAAAACUCUGUUAUUAGGGAAGAACAAAUGUGUAAGUAACUAUGCACGUCUUGACGGUACCUAAUCAGAAAGCCACGGCUAACUACGUG